This 354-nucleotide ribosomal RNA is filed under the name uncultured bacterium. RNAcentral describes it as "bacterial SSU rRNA". It matches the Rfam family "Bacterial small subunit ribosomal RNA", at positions 29 to 412 of the family's 1533-position model. The record is from RNAcentral.
AACGAACGCUGGCGGCAGGCCUAACACAUGCAAGUCGAACGCUCCGCAAGGGGAGUGGCAGACGGGUGAGUAACGCGUGGGAACCUACCUUACGGUCGGGAAUAGCCCAGGGAAACUUGAGCUAAUACCGUAUACGUCCGUGAGGAGAAAGUUUUAACGCCCCUAGACGGGCCCGCGUAGGAUUAGGUAGUUGGUGAGGUAACGGCUCACCAAGCCUACGAUCCUUAGCUGAUCUGAGAGGAUGAUCAGCCACACUGGGACUGAGACACGGCCCAGACUCCUACGGGAGGCAGCAGUGGGGAAUCUUGGACAAUGGGCGCAAGCCUGAUCCAGCCAUGCCGCGUGAGUGAAGAA